GCCUUAGUAGUAUAAAAAUUACAUUGGUCUUGUAAACCAAAAACGGAGUACUAUUCUCCCUAAGACA
RNAcentral lists this transfer RNA (67 nucleotides) under Proechimys guyannensis (Guyenne spiny-rat). RNAcentral describes it as "tRNA-Thr". It matches the Rfam family "tRNA". From Rfam's summary of the family: Transfer RNA (tRNA) molecules are approximately 80 nucleotides in length. Their secondary structure includes four short double-helical elements and three loops (D, anti-codon, and T loops). RNAcentral also lists the same sequence under 1 other name. The record is from RNAcentral. Lineage: Eukaryota; Metazoa; Chordata; Mammalia; Rodentia; Echimyidae.